GGAGGUAUAGCUCAGUGAUGGAGCACUUGCCUAGUAUGCAUGCGGCCCUGGGUUUGAUCCCCAGCACUACAA
RNAcentral lists this transfer RNA (72 nucleotides) under Ictidomys tridecemlineatus (thirteen-lined ground squirrel). Its description in RNAcentral is "Spermophilus tridecemlineatus (thirteen-lined ground squirrel) tRNA". It matches the Rfam family "tRNA". From Rfam's summary of the family: Transfer RNA (tRNA) molecules are approximately 80 nucleotides in length. The record is from Rfam by way of RNAcentral. Lineage: Eukaryota; Metazoa; Chordata; Mammalia; Rodentia; Sciuridae.